Molecule: ribosomal RNA, 443 nt
Filed under: uncultured prokaryote
Description: bacterial SSU rRNA
Rfam family: Bacterial small subunit ribosomal RNA
Source: RNAcentral
UAGGGAAUAUUGGUCAAUGGGCGAGAGCCUGAACCAGCCAUGCCGCGUGCAGGAUGACGGCCUUCUGGGUUGUAAACUGCUUUUAUAUGGGAAGAAAAAGGCCUUGCGAGGCAAAUUGCCGGUACCAUAUGAAUAAGCACCGGCUAACUCCGUGCCAGCAGCCGCGGUAAUACGGAGGGUGCAAGCGUUGUCCGGAAUUAUUGGGCGUAAAGCGUCCGUAGGCGGUUUAUCAAGUCAGUUGUUAAAGACUGCAGCUCAACUGUGGGCGAGCAACUGAAACUGAUGAACUAGAGUGCGGUAGGGGUAGAGGGAAUUCCCAGUGUAGCGGUGAAAUGCGUAGAUAUUGGGAAGAACACCAGUGGCGAAGGCGCUCUACUGGGCCGCAACUGACGCUGAGGGACGAAAGCUAGGGGAGCGAAAGGGAUUAGAUACCCCUGUAGUCC